CGUGUCCUGUUCAACUCAGGCAAUAAACAGGAUCUUCUAAAGUAAGAACAUGCAUGGGUUUACGGAUCUAGCCAACUAUAAAUAGCUGCCACCACACAAGUUCUUCACUCCAGCCCUGGACCAGACACAGAAGACAUCACGGUCAUCUACAACUCUAGGUUUGGAACCCUAACAACAAGCUGCAGGAACAAUGGCAAGCUGGUGCGCCUGUCCCAAAGUGACGCUCUACGAGAAACCCAAUUUUUGCGGUACAUAUCUUCAAAUCUUCGGGGAUGUUCCAGAUUUAAGAUGUUUAGACAACGCGGUUUCCUCGGCCAUUGUACACGAGGGAAAUUGGGCCCUUUACGACAAACAAUAUUGCGGGCAACGGAUGAUCCUAUGUGAAGGACACAGCUACUGCACCCUUCAAUGCAUGAAUAACAGAGCAUCCUCCAUCAAGGCAGUGUGUUAUUGAUGAAGACAACACGAAGCAACAGGCAGCUCUAUCAUUGAUGGAAGACUCGCCGAUAUGACAACAAAUUGUUUACUAUUCUCCUAAGCACGUACACUUUAACCUGACGAUACCUUCAUUCUCUACAUAUCAGUCAACAAAGGCUGUAUUAUAACCUCCCUGUAUUUGCAUAACCUUGCAGAAUGUUCUGUUGAUGCAACUGCAAUUAAAAAGAAUUUCAAACUGUAUAAAAUGAAGGAUUGUACAGAUUUGACGGCAAAUGCCCUUUUUAUAGCUCAUGCUACAAAACUGUACUCCCACCCUGUAGGUAUGUUUAAAUUAUAGCGGCUUUUUAGAUGCCCAUCUUAAAAGCAAGGAGUGUAAAAAUGGGCGUUGUUAAACCUUUUACAAUUAACUGAACAGUAAAAUGAACAAAUCUGUUAAUGCUUGGAUGUAAAGUAUCGAGUUGUUGCUUUAAUCGUUAAUAAAAGAUUGAAACU
Molecule: long non-coding RNA, 930 nt
Organism: Haliotis rubra (blacklip abalone)
Lineage: Eukaryota; Metazoa; Mollusca; Gastropoda; Lepetellida; Haliotidae
Exons: 5
Source: RefSeq, a predicted model, not a curated record